This is a non-coding RNA of Caenorhabditis elegans, 210 nucleotides long. Lineage: Eukaryota; Metazoa; Nematoda; Chromadorea; Rhabditida; Rhabditidae. The record is from Ensembl.
GCUGAGCUGUCUUCGUCUCCAUCUCUUCCACACUCUUUUUCUCAAUUAUCAUUGGUUACGCCUAAUUGUGACGGAGGACCACCGAUAUAGGAUGGCUCGUUAGGAUCGCUUUGAUACCAGAGGGCGGUUACCACUUGAGACUUUAGUGAAUUGAAAGAGGGUGUCAAGUGAUGAGAGAGCGAUGGUGUUCCGGAAGUUUGAAGAUGUUUG